UUGAAGAAGGAAAAAAUCAGGACUAAUUAAAUGUGAAUGUUGCGAAAACACAAUAAAAUCGGUAAAACUGAUACGAGUUUUUGUUAAUAUAUCCAUGAAGAAAGACUGAAAUAAGUAGUAUUUUGCGAGAGUUAUUAUGAAUGUAGGUGUUGCUAAAUGACAAGUGGCAGAUAUGCUGAGUUGGUGGAUGAAAGAAAUGUUAAAACUUUGGUGUCAAAAUCCAUACUCCAUAAUUAACACCAAGAUCAAGCAUCACAUCGAGCAAAUCGAAAUUUUCCAAUACAGUCCAAUGAUUAUGUUGUCUUUUGGUUUGCAUAACAUGUCCUAAGAAAGCACAGCCGCUGAAGCAUGUGAAGAGCAGUCCAUAAUUAUAGUUCGUUGCUAACUCCAAAAUACUGGGUAGUUAUACUUGUUGUUGUUGCUGACUCGAAAAUAAUACGAUCUUGUCCUCAUAUUCGAUCCACAUAGAAUAAAUACAGAUGAAAGCUUCAAUAUGUUGCUCGAACUCUCCAAAAAUGUUACCAAGUGCACGUGGGAUCCUUCAAAAGGUAAAAUUAUUAAUCAGAUCAUGAUACAUAUUGUUUGUUCUCUCUAGUCUCAAGUUCAUCUACAAUGGAGAUAUAUGCUAUUUCCAAAUUCAAAACCGCCAAGCUGCCUGAGAAAACAACACAACAGAUGAAAUGAAAAUAUUGGAAGAUAUAUGACAACUCAAUAUCCAUUAACAAUUAGAAACAACUUUUCAAUUUAACUACGGAUAUAUAUACACACACUCACACACUUCCAUAUAGAUACAUUUAUAAGCCAUAUUUCAAACAAGUAUCCAGAAGUCUCAAGAUUUAGCUGGUGUAAUUUCUAAAUCCACCCCUGCACUGGAUUAUAGCACCCAAUUUCAAUCAAGUAACAAGAAGUUGAGAGGGCAUUUCACAUAAGAAGAUACCUUGGAGAACACUUGGGACAACUUCUUGAGCAAUAAUAUCCCAUCUGGAAAAACUUUUUACUGAUGCCAAAAUCCGAAAAAAAAAGAGAUGUUGAAGAACACUUAAGUUUGUCAGUUAUGCAUCAAAAAAUGAAACAGAAAAACUUCUACAAAGAGGUAAUUAAUUUUACUGAGAGAGAACUCAUAUAUAUUCAUUUAGCUUGGCGUCAAUAAGAGAGUGAUUUUUCAUUUUCAUGUCUCAAAUUAACAAGUUUGGAAAUGAAAGAUAGAAAUAGAAACACACACAACACACACCCCCAACACGAGAGAGAGAGAGGGAGAGAGAAAUCUUUUGAAACGAAUUGAAACUCCUCCACAGCAGACUGAUGCAUCAGGUUGACAUGAAAAUCUUGAAGGAUUGCGUAUGGGUGUUCGUAACACGCGGCGGAAGACAAUAACAAUCCUAGGUAGAUUUUCCCAUGUUUAAAAUUUAUUUACAUGUCAAAAAUAAGAUUUAAGACGUACCUGGUGAAGAGAGUUU
This 1457-nucleotide long non-coding RNA is filed under the name Nicotiana benthamiana. RNAcentral describes it as "long non-coding RNA (NBEN_LNC032878)". The record is from RNAcentral. Lineage: Eukaryota; Viridiplantae; Streptophyta; Magnoliopsida; Solanales; Solanaceae.